RNAcentral lists this unclassified non-coding RNA (394 nucleotides) under Hevea brasiliensis (rubber tree). Lineage: Eukaryota; Viridiplantae; Streptophyta; Magnoliopsida; Malpighiales; Euphorbiaceae. The record is from RNAcentral.
AGAGAACAAAGUUAUGCACCUAAAGGAACUCAUUUUCACCAAUUUGUGGUUCCUCCAAUUUUGGCAUUUAGAAGAGACUGUACUUAUGGUGAUCUUGCAGCUAUGAGAUUACCAGAAGAUGUUCAAGGAGUUUCUACUUGUGAGUAUACAAUGGAGAGAGGGGUAGUCCAUGCAUGCCAUGCAGGAGGGGUGGUUCAUUCAUUAGAAGGAUGGACACAUCAUGAAGUUGGGGCUAUUGAUGUAAACAGAAUUGACUUAGUUUGGGAUGCAGCUAUGAAACAUGGUUUAAAACCAGUUUCAUUUCUCAAAAAGACAGAUUAAUUAAAUUAAUUAAUUAAUUUGUGAAGUCAAUGAUGAAAAGGCCAAGAAAAAAAAAAAGAGGAUUGGCUUGGAG